Non-coding RNA from Coturnix japonica (Japanese quail), 1341 nucleotides. Lineage: Eukaryota; Metazoa; Chordata; Aves; Galliformes; Phasianidae. The record is from RefSeq and is a predicted model, not a curated record.
CAAAUUCAUUUGAGCACCACUUCUGCCUGCUGUAGGUCCUCCACAAGCCAGAUUUAGCUCCAAACAGUAUUUUGUGUGAUAUUGUGGCCAAUAGAAAUACACACAAAUAUUUUAAAGUAUACUUUAUCUUGAACAAGAAGAAUAACUCAGUGUAAAGUUAGGAGUCUAUUAAGACUAAAAAGAAAAGAAAACUUUAGAUUGAGUAACAAGAAAAAAAUAUCUAGAUUUUAUUAAUUUUUGAAAAAGAAUACUGCUUUCUGGCCAAAGGUCCCAGGAUCCACCCCUUCCCACACCCCAUUUAAGCACUGGGAGUGGAGGCAAAGAUAUCUCACUGGUGGUCCCUGCAUACUUGAGGCCUUCUGAAGGUGGUAUUUGAAACUCUUUUGUACUACAGCUCAGAUAAAUACUUGAACAGAUUCACAGAAUGAUAUGGUGUUAUAAGAGAGCCAAGGGAUCCAUUUUCUGAAGGCUGUCUCACUUUAAAUUGCUUGCUACUCUUCAGUGGAGUUUUAAAAAAUGUGAGAAAUAACAUUUUCUCAGAAGAAAAUGGCAUGAGGGAAUAAUCAGAGGUCAGCUGAAUGUAAACCACUGGGUAAUUAGGUUGCAGGAACUUUAUUAAUGUCAACAGCAAGUUAGUUCUGCUGCAUUCUUAUUCCUAGCAAGUUCUUAAGAUUAAGGUAACUUUAUUUUCUUUGUUUAAAUUCAGCAUUUAAAAUAUUAGCUAUCUUUCCCACUUUCUUUUCAUUGGCUUUAGGUUAUUGACUAUUUGAGUUACUGUUUUAAUACAUUUUUUUCUUUCAUUGAGAGUAAAUUUUAGAGUCCUGACAAUGUACUUAUUUUUUCAUGGGAAUGCAGUUGUCACUCACAAGCAGAACAAAGACAUACAUACUGCCAAAGGAUCAAAUGAGGAAACCUUUCCCCUUAAGAGAAAAAAUAAUUGACUGGUUUUUUUUUGUUGUUUUUUUUUUUUUCCAUCAAAUAUUAUUUCACAAAAAUGUUCUUUAUUUUAGCUCGAGACUGACUUUUUCUGCUUUUCUGAGGAUUUGUGUUAGGCAAUUUAUUCUGUAUCACUACAGUUUGUGUAUACAAAAUAUGUGACUCCUUGCAUCAGACCUUGUAUUAACUAUGUUGUUUAAAUAGAUUCUUUAACUUUAAUUGAUUUGGAAGCAGCUUGUGCUCUGAUGUAUGUGAGAGCAGAAUCAAGAUCAUACUUUGCCUUAAAAGCUGCAAGAAGAGAUGUAUAAAUUUGUAGCAUCAUUAAUAUGUAUUAAAAGCUUCAGCAGUUGAACUGAAUUAUAUCAUGUUCUCAAAUAACAGAAAGGGAAUAGUGCUUUGUUAUGC